This 58-nucleotide transfer RNA is filed under the name Loxodonta africana (African savanna elephant). It matches the Rfam family "tRNA", at positions 8 to 63 of the family's 71-position model. Rfam says of the family: Transfer RNA (tRNA) molecules are approximately 80 nucleotides in length. Their secondary structure includes four short double-helical elements and three loops (D, anti-codon, and T loops). Further hydrogen bonds mediate the characteristic L-shaped molecular structure. tRNAs have two regions of fundamental functional importance: the anti-codon, which is responsible for specific mRNA codon recognition, and the 3' end, to which the tRNAs corresponding amino acid is attached (by aminoacyl-tRNA synthetases). tRNAs cope with the degeneracy of the genetic code in two manners: having more than one tRNA (with a specific anti-codon) for a particular amino acid; and 'wobble' base-pairing, i.e. permitting non-standard base-pairing at the 3rd anti-codon position. The record is from Rfam by way of RNAcentral. Lineage: Eukaryota; Metazoa; Chordata; Mammalia; Proboscidea; Elephantidae.
UGGCCCAGUGGUUAAAGCACUUGGCUGCUAACCAAAAGGUUGGUGGUUCGAACCCACC